This 470-nucleotide ribosomal RNA is filed under the name uncultured Pseudomonas sp. Its description in RNAcentral is "bacterial SSU rRNA". It matches the Rfam family "Bacterial small subunit ribosomal RNA", at positions 335 to 798 of the family's 1533-position model. Lineage: Bacteria; Pseudomonadati; Pseudomonadota; Gammaproteobacteria; Pseudomonadales; Pseudomonadaceae. The record is from RNAcentral.
UACCUACGGGCGGCAGCAGUGGGGAAUAUUGGACAAUGGGCGAAAGCCUGAUCCAGCCAUGCCGCGUGUGUGAAGAAGGUCUUCGGAUUGUAAAGCACUUUAAGUUGGGAGGAAGGGCAGUAAGUUAAUACCUUGCUGUUUUGACGUUACCGACAGAAUAAGCACCGGCUAACUCUGUGCCAGCAGCAGCGGUAAUACAGAGGGUGCAAGUGUUAAUCGGAAUUACUGGGCGUAAAGCGCGCGUAGGUGGUUUGUUAAGUUGGAUGGUACAGCCCCGGGCUCAACCUGGGAACUGCAUCCAAAACUGGCAAGCUAGAGUACGGUAGAGGGUGGUGGAAUUUCCUGUGUAGCGGUGAAAUGCGUAGAUAUAGGAAGGAACACCAGUGGCGAAGGCGACCACCUGGACUGAUACUGACACUGAGGUGCGAAAGCGUGGGGAGCAAACAGGAUUAGAUACCCUUGUAGUCGGC